GACGAACGCUGGCGGCGUGCCUAAUACAUGCAAGUUGAGCGCUGAAGGUUGGUACUUGUACCGACUGGAUGAGCAGCGAACGGGUGAGUAACGCGUGGGGAAUCUGCCUUUGAGCGGGGGACAACAUUUGGAAACGAAUGCUAAUACCGCAUAAAAACUUUAAACACAAGUUUUAAGUUUGAAAGAUGCAAUUGCAUCACUCAAAGAUGAUCCCGCGUUGUAUUAGCUAGUUGGUGAGGUAAAGGCUCACCAAGGCGAUGAUACAUAGCCGACCUGAGAGGGGGAUCGGCCAAAUUGGGACUGAGACACGGCCCAAACUCCUACGGGAGGCAGCAGUAGGGAAUCUUCGGCAAUGGACGAAAGUCUGACCGAGCAACGCCGCGUGAGUGAAGAAGGUUUUCGGAUCGUAAAACUCUGUUGGUAGAGAAGAACGUUGGUGAGAGUGGAAAGCUCAUCAAGUGACGGUAACUACCCAGAAAGGGACGGCUAACUACGUG
Molecule: ribosomal RNA, 497 nt
Filed under: uncultured bacterium
Lineage: Bacteria
Description: partial 16S ribosomal RNA
Rfam family: Bacterial small subunit ribosomal RNA
Source: RNAcentral